Pelobates cultripes (western spadefoot toad) is the source of this 276-nucleotide non-coding RNA. NCBI's taxonomy places the organism in Eukaryota, Metazoa, Chordata, Amphibia, Anura, Pelobatidae. The record is from the annotation of a GenBank genome assembly.
GGGGAGGAGAAGGAAAUUGACAGGGGUAGAGGGAGAGAUUGACAUCCAUCACACACACAAUGCACCCCUUGCACACAAAAAAACACACAAUGCAUUACACACAUACACAAGCAAUGCAUCCCUUACACACAGCAACACACAAUGCACCCCUUACACACACUCAGUGCAUCCCUUACAGACGCACACACUGCAUCCCAUACAUACACAAACUCACCUUACAGCCCUUACACAUACAAACACAGAUUCACACAAUGCAUUCCUUACACACAUCAGGAC